UAAAUAGUCCGGCCGGCUUUUGCUGGUCGCAGACUUCUUAGAGGGACUGUCAGCGUCUAGCUGACGGAAGUUUGAGGCAAUAACAGGUCUGUGAUGCCCUUAGAUGUUCUGG
This 112-nucleotide ribosomal RNA is filed under the name Agaricomycetes sp. RNAcentral's name for it is "partial small subunit ribosomal RNA". It matches the Rfam family "Eukaryotic small subunit ribosomal RNA", at positions 1352 to 1485 of the family's 1831-position model. The record is from RNAcentral. Lineage: Eukaryota; Fungi; Basidiomycota; Agaricomycetes.